This 471-nucleotide ribosomal RNA is filed under the name uncultured soil bacterium. RNAcentral's name for it is "bacterial SSU rRNA". It matches the Rfam family "Bacterial small subunit ribosomal RNA", at positions 26 to 520 of the family's 1533-position model. The record is from RNAcentral.
AGGACGAACGCUGGCGGCGGGCUUAACACAUGCAAGUCGAACGAAGCCUUCGGGCUUAGUGGCGCACGGGUGAGUAACGCGUAGGCAAUCUACCUUCAGCUGUGGAAUAACCAGGGGAAACCCUGGCUAAUACCGCAUAACGUCUCGGGGUCGCAUGGCCCCUUGAUCAAAGCCCCGGCGGCUGAAGAUGAGCCUGCGUCAGAUUAGCUAGUUGGUGGGUAACGGCCCACCAAGGCUACGAUCUGUAGCGGGUCUGAGAGGAUGAUCCGCCACACUGGCACUGAGACACGGGCCAGACUCCUACGGGAGGCAGCAGUAGGGAAUCUUGGACAAUGGGCGAAAGCCUGAUCCAGCCAUGCCGCGUGAGUGAAGAAGGCCUUAGGGUUGUAAAGCUCGUUUUUGGCGGGUACGAUAAGUGUCGGUACCCGCGAGAAUAACGCCCCGGCUAACUUCGUCGCCAGCACGCCGCGU